AGAACGGGGUGGCAUUUGUGGGUGAGAUCCUCCAGACGUUGUCCACCUCCAGUGCCAGGCAAUGCCAACUGGCCUGCACUCUCCAUGCCAGCUGCCAGUUCUUCUCUUACCUGGAGCCGCAACCCACAGAGGACAAAACAAGUAGCUGCACUCUAAUGACCAGAGACUCCACCCAGCACUUUUCUGUUAAUGCCUCUCUACAAACAUCAGGGUUCUCCUUAAGGAACUUUUCUGGUACAGUCAUCUCUCCCAAUAGGACCUACACCCUGGUGCAGGAGUCUGUUAGCUGGGAGGAAGCUCAGCGUCACUGCAGUCUGAUCCACUCUGACCUCGCCGUCAUCCAGUCCAGAGAGCAGCUGCAGAACGCCCUACAGGCACUGGGGGGCGCCACAGAAAGCCCAUGGAUCGGACUUCACCGAGAGGACCCACACAACGCCUGGAGAUGGGUCGACAUGUUUUAUAACUGGAUUAGUGAAGCACAUGGUGAAACAUAUGGGUGUGUCUUCUACUAUUCAGGAAAG
Long non-coding RNA from Sardina pilchardus (European sardine), 521 nucleotides. RefSeq lists it as uncharacterized. NCBI's taxonomy places the organism in Eukaryota, Metazoa, Chordata, Actinopteri, Clupeiformes, Clupeidae. The record is from RefSeq and is a predicted model, not a curated record. The transcript has 3 exons.